RNAcentral lists this ribosomal RNA (497 nucleotides) under uncultured bacterium. Its description in RNAcentral is "partial 16S ribosomal RNA". It matches the Rfam family "Bacterial small subunit ribosomal RNA", at positions 28 to 507 of the family's 1533-position model. The record is from RNAcentral.
GAUGAACGCUGGCGGCGUGCCUAAUACAUGCAAGUCGAGCGAACGGACGAGAAGCUUGCUUUUCUGAUGUUAGCGGCGGACGGGUGAGUAACACGUGGAUAACCUACCUAUAAGACUGGGAUAACUUCGGGAAACCGGAGCUAAUACCGGAUAAUAUUUUGAACCGCAUGGUUCAAAAGUGAAAGACGGUCUUGCUGUCACUUAUAGAUGGAUCCGCGCUGCAUUAGCUAGUUGGUAAGGUAACGGCUUACCAAGGCGACGAUGCAUAGCCGACCUGAGAGGGUGAUCAGCCACACUGGAACUGAGACACGGUCCAGACUCCUACGGGAGGCAGCAGUGGGGAAUAUUCCGCAAUGGGCGAAAGCCUGACGCAGCAACGCCGCGUGAGUGAUGAAGGUCUUCGGAUCGUAAAACUCUGUUAGUAGGGAAGAACAGAUGUGUAAGUAACUGUGCCCAUCUUGACGGUACCUAAUGAGAAAGCCACGGCUAACUACGUG